This 873-nucleotide ribosomal RNA is filed under the name Triticum aestivum (bread wheat). RNAcentral describes it as "partial small subunit ribosomal RNA". The record is from RNAcentral. Lineage: Eukaryota; Viridiplantae; Streptophyta; Magnoliopsida; Poales; Poaceae.
AUGGCGAUCGGAGCGCCGGGGUCGUCGCCACAGGCGCGCGACACGAGCAACAUCUUGGAGAACGUGUGGGCAACCAUCAUGACCGAGACGCCGACAGCGUGCACGCCGAUGCCCACGUCCUCGUCGACGGCGUCCACAUCUUUCGUGGAUCAGGCUGGCUCGGAGAUCUUGCAGCGGCUGCCGAGCCUCGGAAGGUGGAUCUCCAUGGGCGCCGACGAGUGGGACGAGUUCCUCAGCGUGGCGGACGCGGCCACACCGCCCGUCGCUGAGCAGCCACCGCUCGCAGCAGCCUCGCCUCGGGGAGAAGGCCAGGAGCAGAGCGCCGCCGUCGGCAAGGUGGCGUUGCCCAAGAGCUACAGGGGGGUGCGGCGGCGGCCGUGGGGCAAGUUCGCGGCGGAGAUCCGGGACACGCGGAGGCGGGGCGCUCGGGUGUGGCUGGGCACGUUCGCCACGGCGGACGAGGCCGCGCUCGCCUACGACGUGGCCGCGCUGCGCAUGCGCGGCCCGCGCGCGCACCUCAACUUCCCGAUCGAGAAGGUGCAGUGCCGCCUCGACCUGGAGCGCGACAACGGUCAGUUCCUGGACGCCGGUGACCAUUCCACGGGCCUGGCGCGCCGAAAGAGGAGAAGGAGGAGCAGUGCCACCGACGCCGAUCAUGCAAGAACUGUCGACGCUGAUCUCACGGCGGUGUAUGGAAAUGGAAGCUCCGAUCAGAUGGUGUCAUUCGCCAGCUCGAGGAGGGACCACGGAACGCCAACGAUGCAAGAUCGGCGCGUGACGAGCGCUGACGUCGGAGGUGCUGUGAAUCGAGCGAUCGAGGUUGAGGAGAUUGGCAUAGAGUAUUGGGACUAUCUGUUCCCGCCUCUGGUAUAG